Molecule: ribosomal RNA, 253 nt
Filed under: uncultured bacterium
Lineage: Bacteria
Description: partial 16S ribosomal RNA
Rfam family: Bacterial small subunit ribosomal RNA
Source: RNAcentral
UACAGAGGGUGCUAGCGUUGUUCGGAAUUAUUGGGCGUAAAGGGCGCGUAGGCGGUCUUGUAAGUCAGAUGUGAAAGCCCUCGGCUUAACUGAGGAAGUGCACCUGAAACUGGCAGGCUUGAGUACGAAAGAGGGUCGCGGAAUUCCCGGUGUAGAGGUGAAAUUCGUAGAUAUCGGGAGGAACACCGGUGGCGAAGGCGGCGACCUGGUUCGAUACUGACACUGAGGUGCGAAAGCGUGGGGAGCAAACAGG